CUUACCUGAAUGGGCUGCCUGCUUGGAAAUGCCACUUUAAUGUGCCAGAUUUAGGGCCUGCAAGUGCAUUGUUCCACGGUGCAAAAGACCAUUUUGUUGUCUCCUGUAGAAGAGAAUACUGAGACCAUUGCUGCUCUGUCCUACAGAAGUCUGCUAAGAGGUCUUGAGUUGCUCCAGCCACAGAGAAUAGCCAGCAACCCCACUGCUAAGUCUCUUUAUUCCACGUAGGCUCUCAGUUUAUGAGUUUUUAACACAGAUAGUGAAAAUCAGGACUAACAGCUUAAAAUGAAUCUUGGUAGCCCAGUGACAGCUGUUUAUUUUUUGUGGGGGGAGGCUUGUUAAGCUGGGAUUGAAAGCAGCUGCUGUGAGACAAUGAUCAAGUGCAUCUUGUUUAACUGGGGAAUAUACAGCACUGUGAACCAAGCCCCUUCUUACUGGAGUGGUGAGAAUUCAUCCAUUGAAUAGCAUUCUGCUCAAAAGAAAUAGCUGUUGUUUUGGGAAGAAUUAAUUGGAAGUGUACAACAGCAAACACCUAAAAAUCAGAGAAAUCUGAUUGGAAUGAUGAGAGACAUUAGAUCACCUGGAGCUGAAGUUAAGUUUAUUUUCCCUGUUGGGAGGAACUUACCAUCCCUUGGAUAUGAUGGAAUUAAAUUCUUAUUUCACCUGCUUCUUGAAGUGGAAGUUUUGGAAGCCAUACAAAAGAAAAAGGAGUGGAACUGUCUGAGGCUUUGAAAUCCCCUUGUCACAAGUGCUGCAGGAGCCACGAUAAGAUGUUUUUCCUGAUGUAACUUCCAUUUUUCAUACCUUACUGUCUUAAAAACAGCAGGAGAAAAAAAAAGCAAAACAAAUUGUCAAAUUGUCACGCAACAAGACAAUUGUCUAACCUAUCACUCUAAAAAGUGAAGCAUGUGACUUUUCUUACAAACCAAGGGGCAGCAUCACUCCUAUAUUAAUUUUUUCCGUUCUUUGUGCAUAUGUUUCUAGUGUUGUGGCAGUAAAUCUUUGCUUAAACAUGCAUAUUCUUGAUUACAGUAAACAUUUCUAAGUGAGAUUCUGCCACUGGCUGGCUAUUAUAGGGUUUAUGCUUGUCAUUUCCUGACUUCAAGAGCUAGGUAACAUAAAUAGCAUUUACCUUUUUUUACCUUAAGAGCUUUUUGGAAAUCUGAAAUUUUGUUUUUCCUUUUUGGACUGUCUCUAGAAUUCUAACUUUUUUAAAAAAAAAUAGGUGUAAAUCUUGUUGAAUUUUUUGUGGGACAAAACUUCUCAAUAUGUUCUCCUGUCAAUGAACAUUUUUUCUUCCAGAUUUUCUGCUCUUUAGGUUCCUGUGGAUCAGUUGCACAUUUUUUUAGUAAGUUCUUCUGUAAAAAAAAACCAACAAAAUUAUGUAAUAUUUUAAAAGUUUUUCUUUCUUUUUAGUUUUCUGUGUGAAGAUCAUUUGUCAAGAUUUCCUAAUCAAUGUGGUUAGUGUAUACCAGUUAUAGAACUGGAGUGGCUAGACCCAUGCAAAGCCACCCAGGAUGACACUGGUUUGAGAGGGGCAUCCUGUGAUUGCUCUGAUGUUGUAAGAACCACUUGUUCAAAACAUAGUCAUGGCAUGGUGCUCAUUCAGCUGAAUGAGAUGUUUCGAUGACUCUGGUUCUAGUCAGAAGCAGACUACAUGGUAAAUGUACUUCCAGAGGCAGAUCUGCAGAUCUGGGGUUCCCUGUGGGAUUUCGUCUUCAAGGUGGAUCAUUAUGGCAGUUCAAUUCCUACAGUGAAAAUUCUGAUCUUGUCUAAAAGUUUUGGAACUGCUAAUCAGACAGGGAUGAGGCAGUAAGAGCUGCUCCUGGUUAAACACUGCUGUCUUGCCACUGAAGCUGACAAUACACGUUUUUCUCCCCAGGAGUAUGACUGGAUUGCAGGCUUUUGAAGCAAACUACAAAGUGGUCCAAAUUUCCUCUCAAUGAAUUUCUACUAAGAUUUUCAUUUCAAACAACCAAAAGAAUAUAGAACAUACACUAAUAAGGCCAUGUGGUAUGACCUUGCCCAUGGAGAGCAGCUGACUGCUGCUGUCCAGGAAGUUUUACUUGAACAGCAAGCCUUUGAACAUCAGAGAUGCUGAGCUGUAGAAUAACAGAGCCUCUCCAAAAUCUGUGAGAUCUUUUGUGUACUGAAUACUGAAGUAGACUGCAGCAGUAGUAGUGCUGUUUUAUAUAAAUGUUAAAGCUACAUAUGUUGCUAAAUAAAAACUACUCAUAGGUUUAUAAACA
RNAcentral lists this long non-coding RNA (2249 nucleotides) under Cyanistes caeruleus (blue tit). Its description in RNAcentral is "lncRNA (ENSCCEG00000014015.1)". Lineage: Eukaryota; Metazoa; Chordata; Aves; Passeriformes; Paridae. The record is from RNAcentral.